This is a non-coding RNA of Pelodiscus sinensis (Chinese soft-shelled turtle), 3716 nucleotides long. The record is from RefSeq and is a predicted model, not a curated record. Lineage: Eukaryota; Metazoa; Chordata; Testudines; Trionychidae.
UACUCAUGUCUUGUCUUAACAAACAGUUAAUGACUAAUUCAAGCUCAGACUGUCCCAAACAUGGCAGAAUGGAUCUUUUUUUCUAGGAUGUGGGUCUGGGGAGACCGUCUGUGAGAUCUGCAACCACAGAGUAUCCUGGACUUCGUGCCCUAUCGCUGUGUUGUAAGGUUAUGGCAGUGCUGAACUGAGCAUGAGGCUCGUGUCCUUCCCCCCAAGUUGUCAUGGCCGGAUAGGAAUCUUCCACUCCAACUCCUGGUGUUUUUAUGGCCAGUGUCACACUAGUAUUUGAGCAUCUCCCUGGCAUUUAUGGAUUUAUCCUCAGACUGUCCCUGUGAGAAGUGAGUCUGCAUCGCUGAUGCUGGAUGUCCGGGCCAGUUGCUUCAGACAGAGGAGGACUGGCGCUGCUUUGGAAUAUGGUGCCUAACUUCUGCAUGCCAGUCGCCAUUGUGCCGGCAGUGGUUCUGUGCUGCUUGAUCGUUUUGGCGGCAGCAGACAGUAAGUAACAUUUAAACUGUAAUGCAAAAACUUGACAUGUUUUCUUCCAUCAAUAGUCACCCUCUUGGCCAAGGCAUAAUGGUCUCACGUGGCCAGUGUGGUUAAACAGCACAUGCCGGGGAGCUUGUCCUGUUCUGUCACUUGGAAAAACAAAGUGUCGAUAAGAGCGAUGUGGUUUUUGGGGAGCAAUCUGUCCAGUGACUGUGAGUUUUCUCAGUUAUAGAGGACUAAACAAAACGUUUGUCCUGGCGACGGAGGUGCUGUAAGUAGGACACAGGGAAUUUCCCCUUUAUUUUCCCCAAACUUUUAUUCAUUCCAUUAAUCCUGAGAACACCACGCUGCUGCUGAAGUCUGCCAGUCAGGUGGCUGGUACUGGAGAGGUUUCAGAGAAGACCCAUGAAAAGGAUUGGAGAGCCCUCCUUACGACGAGGGUCAAAGGGGAGCCAUCUUCUUAACUUAACAGACGAGAGAGUACGAGGUGGGUUGGUCGCAGUUCGUAAGUGCGUGCAAGGGGGUAGAAAUGGAGCAUUGGGCUCCUCAGUGCCGCAGGGAGAGGUCCAAUAUGAUCAGAAGCUGGAAGUGGAAGAUUCAGAGAGGGAAAAGGUGCAAAUGUUUGUCAGUGGGGAUAAUUGUACAGUGGAGCCAUGUCCCAAGGGUUGUGGUGGAUUUUCCAGCACUGACAAUCUGCAAACCAAGACUGGAGUUUUUUAAAGAUCUGCUCUACUUCAGAAGGGAUUUGGGGGGCAGAUCUCCAGCCUGUGUCGCAGUGGGGCGGGGCUGGCAGAGGGUGUCAGGAUAGAUGAUGACAGUGGUCCCUUCUGGCCUUGGGAUCUUUGAAUGGGUGGGAGCUGCUGGGGAGUGGUGCGGAGGCCCUGCAGUAGCUCUCCUAGGUUUGCAUUGCACAGCGCGAUGGUGGAAUAUUUCAGUAGCGCCACCGUGUUUGUAACCUGUGCCCACCAGCACCCUGCUUGCUGUGUUCUGGAGCCACCAUCCCCGCGUGAUUGGCCCCAUCCGGAAGGAACAAAAAGGGGCGGAGCAACUUGGCUAACUAGGCCCCUGGGAAUUCAUUGCGGGAGUGCUUGCACGAAGGCGCUAGUGCAAUGCAGAAAAGCCCCACAGGCUCGUUUUUCAGCCUGGAGUUCAUCACUCAGCUUGGGCGGCUGUCCGAGGCCGUCAGGCCUAGAUGUACUUGUGGGGCCAAUCGGAAGGCAGCGCCCUCCGUAUCAUGACACAGUUUCCCUUCUUCUUAGUCUCCCUGGACACAGGGCAGCUGCCAAGUCACUACCUCCCUGUCCGCUGCUUAUUUUGGAGUGGGGUGACUUUCAAGCCUGCUGGUCUGAGCCUGCACGUGGGGCAGAAAGAAGUCGGAGCCCGGCUAAUUGAAGAGUUCAGUCUCUGGUAGAGCUGUCUGGCGCCUGCGCUGGCUGGGAGAGGGGAUGGGGAAUAGGAAUAGUGCUCUGGCUGGCAGCUGGAUCCUGUCUCUCUGCAUCGCUCCGGGCUGCCACUCACAUCUGCCAGAGGCUUCCUUUUGUUCUGAAAGGCUUCGCACCCAGGAAUCUCACUGAAAUCAAUGGGGACUGAGCCCUGUGAGGAAGUCAGCGUGCAGACAGAGUCUCAGCUUUCCAUGCAAACUAAAAAGCCAUGUUUGGAGCUGGAUGGCUGUGAUGCUCUGCCAGCGUAGCUAGUUACAGAGAUAGCGGCUUCUCACCCCGCUUCCACCCUGUCCCUUCAGUUUGCAAUUGAGCUACAAAUGUAGAAACCUCAGAGGAAGCCCUGGUAGGUCUUGGUGAGAGCCUGGGCGUGAGGCAGGAGGGAAAGCAUGCAGAGCUAUUUGGCCUGAGCAAAGAGGGGCAGUGAGGUGAUGGAGCAGGAGGGAAAAUAGGAGGAAAGUUGAGAAAUUGAUUUGCCAACAAUAGCCCUUCCCCGAGGAAGCUGGGGAUGGUCAUUUUGCCACAGCUCCCCUGGCUGCUGUUGGCAGCAGACAUUUAAACGCACCAUCUUAGUCUUCGCCUGCUGUGGAGUCGAGAGAGAACAAGCGGGCAUGUGCAGACUUUGUCCUCGUGGAGAAUUGGCCCUGCUCUUCCAGGAAGAAUAAAGCGCCGGGUUCCAGCAAGUACAGAACCAGGAGGUGAGGGGGGAUCUUAGGACCUGUCCGAGUUUCGCAGGGGUGAAAGUGGGCUGGACCAGGCCGGUAGGGCACACUGGCAAGAUCCAGCCACCGGUACAGGCCCGUCUGCAGCUGACCUUAAAGCACUGCUCCCUUGUUGGCUGCCCUUCUGGUUGGGAGCAAAAGGGGCAGCUGCCCUGGGGCCCGGUGAUUUAAAAGGGCCCUAGAGCUCCCAGCUACAGCUACUGCAGUCCCCGUUUGUGGCUCUAACCGCCAAUUUGCCUUUUAUUCCACCCCCUUGCUCUCGUUUGAAUGGCGGGGUGACACUGUUCAGAACAAAUUGGUCUGGCUCACAGCAUCUGAGGGUCAGAAAGGAAGGAAGCGAAAAGGCGACACUUUCCUGUCCACAGAGCAGGCAGCUUUGGGAGCAGUUAGGUUUCCAGAGAAGGGGAGUGCGUUAUCUGGCGAUGGACAUGGACCUGCCGCUGAGGCUGAGCGCAUUGACUGUGCAAUGCUGUGCAGUACCUUGUUGUGAAGGACAGGGCCGGAGCGUGAGGUGAGGUGUGAGCGCCCCUGCCGUAGCCUGAUGCCUAGGUCGGUGAGAAGUAACAUUGGGGGCAUCGUGGCUGUUCCGUCUCCAUUUGGGAGGGCGUGAGAGAGGUGUCAGAAUCCAUUAAUCUCUGGGGAGGCCCGAGGCGAGAUGACCGAGCAGGGAGAUGGGAUCCCUGCUCUUGGCUUGUGAAAUUCAUGUUGAUAGAAAAGGUCGGUAACUGAGGGCAAAGUGGCGGUGCGCAUGGUUUGCUGUGUCGGGUCUCUGGCUGCGGCCUGGGCUUGCUCGCUUCCCAACUCUGUUGUCACAGUAGAUUGUUGGGCUGCGCCUGCCGCUUUCUGACAAUUAGGCAACUGUCACAUGGCGCGCCGCUGACGGGUGAGAUGAAACAGGCUGGCUGUGUAUUGCAGGGAGGAAUUAGAGCGGGGAAUUGACUCUUUUGGCUUCCCUGGCAUUGAGUUCCCCAAAGCCUCACACACCGGCAAGGGAAGCGCCCCAGAAUUGGGGGCAGUGCAAAGAUGGAACGUUUCAGAAACAUGGGAAUCGUGAGGCCGGCACUGUAAG